AGAGUUUGAUCCUGGCUCAGGACGAACGCUGGCGGCGUGCCUAAUACAUGCAAGUAGAACGCUGAAGAGAGGAGCUUGCUCUUCUUGGAUGAGUUGCGAACGGGUGAGUAACGCGUAGGUAACCUGCCUUGUAGCGGGGGAUAACUAUUGGAAACGAUAGCUAAUACCGCAUAACAAUGGAUGACACAUGUCAUUUAUUUUAAAGGGGCAAUUGUUCCACUACAAGAUGGACCUGCGUUGUAUUAGCUAGUAGGUGAGGUAAUGGCUCACCUAGGCGACGAUACAUAGCCGACCUGAGAGGGUGAUCGGCCACACUGGGACUGAGACACGGCCCAGACUCCUACGGGAGGCAGCAGUAGGGAAUCUUCGGCAAUGGGGGCAACCCUGACCGAGCAACGCCGCGUGAGUGAAGAAGGUUUUCGGAUCGUAAAGCUCUGUUGUAAGUCAAGAACGGGUGUGAGAGUGGAAAGUUCACACUGUGACGGUAGCUUACCAGAAAGGGACGGCUAACUACGUGCCAGCAGCCGCGGUAAUACGUAGGUCCCGAGCGUUGUCCGGAUUUAUUGGGCGUAAAGCGAGCGCAGGCGGUUUGAUAAGUCUGAAGUUAAAGGCUGUGGCUCAACCAUAGUUCGCUUUGGAAACUGUCAAACUUGAGUGCAGAAGGGGAGAGUGGAAUUCCAUGUGUAGCGGUGAAAUGCGUAGAUAUAUGGAGGAACACCGGUGGCGAAAGCGGCUCUCUGGUCUGUAACUGACGCUGAGGCUCGAAAGCGUGGGGAGCGAACAGGAUUAGAUACCCUGGUAGUCCACGCCGUAAACGAUGAGUGCUAGGUGUUGGAUCCUUUCCGGGAUUCAGUACCGCAGCUAACGCAUUAAGCACUCCGCCUGGGGAGUACGACCGCAAGGUUGAAACUCAAAGGAAUUGACGGGGGCCCGCACAAGCGGUGGAGCAUGUGGUUUAAUUCGAAGCAACGCGAAGAACCUUACCAGGUCUUGACAUCCCGAUGCUAUUUCUAGAGAUAGAAAGUUACUUCGGUACAUCGGUGACAGGUGGUGCAUGGUUGUCGUCAGCUCGUGUCGUGAGAUGUUGGGUUAAGUCCCGCAACGAGCGCAACCCCUAUUGUUAGUUGCCAUCAUUCAGUUGGGCACUCUAGCGAGACUGCCGGUAAUAAACCGGAGGAAGGUGGGGAUGACGUCAAAUCAUCAUGCCCCUUAUGACCUGGGCUACACACGUGCUACAAUGGUUGGUACAACGAGUUGCGAGUCGGUGACGGCGAGCUAAUCUCUUAAAGCCAAUCUCAAUUCGGAUUGUAGGCUGCAACUCGCCUACAUGAAGUCGGAAUCGCUAGUAAUCGCGGAUCAGCACGCCGCGGUGAAUACGUUCCCGGGCCUUGUACACACCGCCCGUCACACCACGAGAGUUUGUAACACCCGAAGUCGGUGAGGUAACCUUUUGGAGCCAGCCGCCUAAGGUGGGACAGAUGAUUGGGGUGAAGUCGUAACAAGGUA
Molecule: ribosomal RNA, 1506 nt
Filed under: metagenome
Description: bacterial SSU rRNA
Rfam family: Bacterial small subunit ribosomal RNA
Source: RNAcentral